UACGGGAGGCAGCAGUGAGGAAUAUUGGUCAAUGGGCGUAAGCCUGAACCAGCCAAGUCGCGUGAGGGAUGAAGGUUCUAUGGAUCGUAAACCUCUUUUAUAAGGGAAUAAAGUGCGGGACGUGUCCUGUUUUGUAUGUACCUUAUGAAUAAGGAUCGGCUAACUCCGUGCCAGCAGCCGCGGUAAUACGGAGGAUCCGAGCGUUAUCCGGAUUUAUUGGGUUUAAAGGGUGCGUAGGCGGCC
This 243-nucleotide ribosomal RNA is filed under the name Parabacteroides distasonis. RNAcentral describes it as "partial 16S ribosomal RNA". It matches the Rfam family "Bacterial small subunit ribosomal RNA", at positions 340 to 580 of the family's 1533-position model. Lineage: Bacteria; Pseudomonadati; Bacteroidota; Bacteroidia; Bacteroidales; Tannerellaceae. The record is from RNAcentral.